CAGUCGCCGCGGGAAUACGGAGGGUGCGAGCGUUAAUCGGAAUUACUGGGCGUAAAGCGUGCGCAGGCGGUUCGUUAAGACAGAUGUGAAAUCCCCGGGCUUAACCUGGGAACUGCAUUUGUGACUGGCGAGCUAGAGUAUGGCAGAGGGGGGUAGAAUUCCACGUGUAGCAGUGAAAUGCGUAGAGAUGUGGAGGAAUACCGAUGGCGAAGGCAGCCCCCUGGGCCAAUACUGACGCUCAUGCACGAAAGCGUGGGGAGCAAACAGGAUUAGAGACCCCCGUAGUCCCUGUCUCUUAUAC
Molecule: ribosomal RNA, 301 nt
Filed under: uncultured bacterium
Lineage: Bacteria
Description: partial 16S ribosomal RNA
Rfam family: Bacterial small subunit ribosomal RNA
Source: RNAcentral